GAUGAUGAACGUAGCGAAAUGCGAUAAGUAAUGUGAAUUGCAGAAUUCAGUGAAUCAUCGAAUCUUUGAACGCACAUUGCGCCCCCUGGUAUUCCGGGGGGCAUGCCUGUCCGAGCGUCAUUACAACCCUCAAGCUCAGCUUGGUGUUGGGCCCCGCCGCCCCGGCGGGCCCUAAAGUCAGUGGCGGUGCCGUCCGGCUCCGAGCGUAGUAAUUCUUCUCGCUCUGGAGGUCCGGUCGUGUGCUCGCCAGCAACCCCCAAUUUUUUUCAGGUUGACCUCGGAUCAGGUAGGGAUACCCGCUGAACUUAAGCAUAUCAAUAAGCGAGGA
Molecule: unclassified non-coding RNA, 328 nt
Filed under: soil metagenome
Description: partial contains 5.8S ribosomal RNA, internal transcribed spacer 2, and large subunit ribosomal RNA
Rfam family: 5.8S ribosomal RNA (bases 1-120)
Source: RNAcentral